UGAACGCUGGCGGCGUGCCUAAUACAUGCAAGUCGAGCGAACGGACGAGAAGCUUGCUUCUCUGAUGUUAGCGGCGGACGGGUGAGUAACACGUGGAUAACCUACCUAUAAGACUGGGAUAACUUCGGGAAACCGGAGCUAAUACCGGAUAAUAUUUUGAACCGCAUGGUUCAAAAGUGAAAGACGGUCUUGCUGUCACUUAUAGAUGGAUCCGCGCUGCAUUAGCUAGUUGGUAAGGUAACGGCUUACCAAGGCAACGAUGCAUAGCCGACCUGAGAGGGUGAUCGGCCACACUGGAACUGAGACACGGUCCAGACUCCUACGGGAGGCAGCAGUAGGGAAUCUUCCGCAAUGGGCGAAAGCCUGACGGAGCAACGCCGCGUGAGCGAUGAAGGUCUUCGGAUCGUAAAACUCUGUUAUUAGGGAAGAACAUAUGUGUAAGUAACUGUGCACAUCUUGACGGUACCUAAUCAGAAAGCCACGGCUAACUACGUG
RNAcentral lists this ribosomal RNA (495 nucleotides) under uncultured bacterium. RNAcentral's name for it is "partial 16S ribosomal RNA". It matches the Rfam family "Bacterial small subunit ribosomal RNA", at positions 30 to 507 of the family's 1533-position model. The record is from RNAcentral.